Molecule: ribosomal RNA, 464 nt
Filed under: Vreelandella stevensii
Lineage: Bacteria; Pseudomonadati; Pseudomonadota; Gammaproteobacteria; Oceanospirillales; Halomonadaceae
Description: partial 16S ribosomal RNA
Rfam family: Bacterial small subunit ribosomal RNA
Source: RNAcentral
CUAGGGGGGGCAGCAGUGGGGAAUAUUGGACAAUGGGCGAAAGCCUGAUCCAGCCAUGCCGCGUGUGUGAAGAAGGCCUUCGGGUUGUAAAGCACUUUCAGUGGGGAAGAAAGCCUUGGGGCUAAUACCCUCGAGGAAGGACAUCACCCACAGAAGAAGCACCGGCUAACUCCGUGCCAGCAGCCGCGGUAAUACGGAGGGUGCGAGCGUUAAUCGGAAUUACUGGGCGUAAAGCGCGCGUAGGCGGUCUGAUAAGCCGGUUGUGAAAGCCCCGGGCUCAACCUGGGAACGGCAUCCGGAACUGUCAGGCUAGAGUGCAGGAGAGGAAGGUAGAAUUCCCGGUGUAGCGGUGAAAUGCGUAGAGAUCGGGAGGAAUACCAGUGGCGAAGGCGGCCUUCUGGACUGACACUGACGCUGAGGUGCGAAAGCGUGGGUAGCAAACAGGAUUAGAUACCCCAGUAGUC